GCCAGGGUGGCGUAGUGGUUAGCACAUCUGCCUAACGAGCAGAAGACUCGGGUUAGAACCCCAACCUUGGUA
This is a non-coding RNA of Schistocerca cancellata (South American locust), 72 nucleotides long. The record is from the annotation of a RefSeq genome assembly. Lineage: Eukaryota; Metazoa; Arthropoda; Insecta; Orthoptera; Acrididae.